RNAcentral lists this ribosomal RNA (2899 nucleotides) under Klebsiella pneumoniae. RNAcentral's name for it is "bacterial LSU rRNA". It matches the Rfam family "Bacterial large subunit ribosomal RNA". The record is from RNAcentral. Lineage: Bacteria; Pseudomonadati; Pseudomonadota; Gammaproteobacteria; Enterobacterales; Enterobacteriaceae.
UUAAGCGACUAAGCGUACACGGUGGAUGCCCUGGCAGUCAGAGGCGAUGAAGGACGUGCUAAUCUGCGAAAAGCGUCGGUAAGGUGAUAUGAACCGUUAUAGCCGGCGAUGUCCGAAUGGGGAAACCCAGUGUGAUUCGUCACACUAUCGUUAACUGAAUACAUAGGUUAACGAGGCGAACCGGGGGAACUGAAACAUCUAAGUACCCCGAGGAAAAGAAAUCAACCGAGAUUCCCCAGUAGCGGCGAGCGAACGGGGAGCAGCCCAGAGUCUGAAUCAGCUUGUGUGUUAGUGGAACGGUCUGGAAAGUCCGACGGUACAGGGUGAUAGUCCCGUACACCAAAAUGCACAGGCUGUGAACUCGAAGAGUAGGGCGGGACACGUGGUAUCCUGUCUGAAUAUGGGGGGACCAUCCUCCAAGGCUAAAUACUCCUGACUGACCGAUAGUGAACCAGUACCGUGAGGGAAAGGCGAAAAGAACCCCGGCGAGGGGAGUGAAAAAGAACCUGAAACCGUGUACGUACAAGCAGUGGGAGCACCUUCGGGUGUGACUGCGUACCUUUUGUAUAAUGGGUCAGCGACUUAUAUUCUGUAGCAAGGUUAACCGUAUAGGGGAGCCGCAGGGAAACCGAGUCUUAACUGGGCGUUAAGUUGCAGGGUAUAGACCCGAAACCCGGUGAUCUAGCCAUGGGCAGGUUGAAGGUUGGGUAACACUAACUGGAGGACCGAACCGACUAAUGUUGAAAAAUUAGCGGAUGACUUGUGGCUGGGGGUGAAAGGCCAAUCAAACUGGGAGAUAGCUGGUUCUCCCCGAAAGCUAUUUAGGUAGCGCCUCGUGAAUUCAUCUUCGGGGGUAGAGCACUGUUUCGGCUAGGGGGUCAUCCCGACUUACCAACCCGAUGCAAACUACGAAUACCGAAGAAUGUUAUCACGGGAGACACACGGCGGGUGCUAACGUCCGUCGUGAAGAGGGAAACAACCCAGACCGCCAGCUAAGGUCCCAAAGUCAUGGUUAAGUGGGAAACGAUGUGGGAAGGCACAGACAGCCAGGAUGUUGGCUUAGAAGCAGCCAUCAUUUAAAGAAAGCGUAAUAGCUCACUGGUCGAGUCGGCCUGCGCGGAAGAUGUAACGGGGCUAAACCAUGCACCGAAGCUGCGGCAGCGACACUAUGUGUUGUUGGGUAGGGGAGCGUUCUGUAAGCCUGCGAAGGUGUGCUGUGAGGCAUGCUGGAGGUAUCAGAAGUGCGAAUGCUGACAUAAGUAACGAUAAAGCGGGUGAAAAGCCCGCUCGCCGGAAGACCAAGGGUUCCUGUCCAACGUUAAUCGAGGCAGGGUGAGUCGACCCCUAAGGCGAGGCCGAAAGGCGUAGUCGAUGGGAAACAGGUUAAUAUUCCUGUACUUGGUGUUACUGCGAAGGGGGGACGGAGAAGGCUAUGUUAGCCGGGCGACGGUUGUCCCGGUUUAAGCAUGUAGGCUGGUUGUCCAGGCAAAUCCGGAUAAUCAAGGCUGAGGUGUGAUGACGAGGCACUACGGUGCUGAAGUAACAAAUGCCCUGCUUCCAGGAAAAGCCUCUAAGCAUCAGGUAACAUCAAAUCGUACCCCAAACCGACACAGGUGGUCAGGUAGAGAAUACCAAGGCGCUUGAGAGAACUCGGGUGAAGGAACUAGGCAAAAUGGUGCCGUAACUUCGGGAGAAGGCACGCUGGUGUGUAGGUGAAGUCCCUGCGGAUGGAGCUGAGACCAGUCGAAGAUACCAGCUGGCUGCAACUGUUUAUUAAAAACACAGCACUGUGCAAACACGAAAGUGGACGUAUACGGUGUGACGCCUGCCCGGUGCCGGAAGGUUAAUUGAUGGGGUUAUCCGUAAGGAGAAGCUCUUGAUCGAAGCCCCGGUAAACGGCGGCCGUAACUAUAACGGUCCUAAGGUAGCGAAAUUCCUUGUCGGGUAAGUUCCGACCUGCACGAAUGGCGUAAUGAUGGCCAGGCUGUCUCCACCCGAGACUCAGUGAAAUUGAACUCGCUGUGAAGAUGCAGUGUACCCGCGGCAAGACGGAAAGACCCCGUGAACCUUUACUAUAGCUUGACACUGAACAUUGAGCCUUGAUGUGUAGGAUAGGUGGGAGGCUUUGAAGCGUGGACGCCAGUCUGCGUGGAGCCAACCUUGAAAUACCACCCUUUAAUGUUUGAUGUUCUAACGUUGGCCCCUUACCGGGGUUGCGGACAGUGUCUGGUGGGUAGUUUGACUGGGGCGGUCUCCUCCCAAAGCGUAACGGAGGAGCACGAAGGUUAGCUAAUCCUGGUCGGACAUCAGGAGGUUAGUGCAAUGGCAUAAGCUAGCUUGACUGCGAGCGUGACGGCGCGAGCAGGUGCGAAAGCAGGUCAUAGUGAUCCGGUGGUUCUGAAUGGAAGGGCCAUCGCUCAACGGAUAAAAGGUACUCCGGGGAUAACAGGCUGAUACCGCCCAAGAGUUCAUAUCGACGGCGGUGUUUGGCACCUCGAUGUCGGCUCAUCACAUCCUGGGGCUGAAGUAGGUCCCAAGGGUAUGGCUGUUCGCCAUUUAAAGUGGUACGCGAGCUGGGUUUAGAACGUCGUGAGACAGUUCGGUCCCUAUCUGCCGUGGGCGCUGGAGAAUUGAGGGGGGCUGCUCCUAGUACGAGAGGACCGGAGUGGACGCAUCACUGGUGUUCGGGUUGUCAUGCCAAUGGCACUGCCCGGUAGCUAAAUGCGGAAGAGAUAAGUGCUGAAAGCAUCUAAGCACGAAACUUGCCCCGAGAUGAGUUCUCCCUGAGACUUUAAGUCUCCUGAAGGAACGUUGAAGACGACGACGUUGAUAGGCCGGGUGUGUAAGCGCAGCGAUGCGUUGAGCUAACCGGUACUAAUGAACCGUGAGGCUUAACCUU